RNAcentral lists this ribosomal RNA (520 nucleotides) under uncultured Paraglomus. RNAcentral's name for it is "bacterial SSU rRNA". It matches the Rfam family "Eukaryotic small subunit ribosomal RNA", at positions 569 to 1084 of the family's 1831-position model. Lineage: Eukaryota; Fungi; Glomeromycota; Glomeromycetes; Paraglomerales; Paraglomeraceae. The record is from RNAcentral.
AGCAGCCGCGGUAAUUCCAGCUCCAAUAGCGUAUAUUAAAGUUGUUGCAGUUAAAAAGCUCGUAGUUGAACUUCAGGCCUGUCCAGAUGGUCCGCCUUAAUUGGUGUGUACUGUCCUUGGGUGGGUCCUACCUUCUGGCGAAGCGGCAUGGCCUUAAUUGGUUGUGUUGGGGAACCAGGACUUUUACUGUGAAAAAAAUUAGAGUGUUCAAAGCAGGCAAAUAUGCUCGAAUACAUUAGCAUGGAAUAAUGGAAUAGGACGAUGGUUCUAUUUUGUUGGUUCUAGGACCGUUGUAAUGAUUAAUAGGGAUAGUUGGGGGCAUUAGUAUUCAAUUGUCAGAGGUGAAAUUCUUGGAUUUAUUGAAGACUAACUACUGCGAAAGCAUUUGCCAAGGAUGUUUUCAUUAAUCAAGAACGAAAGUUAGGGGAUCGAAGACGAUCAGAUACCGUCGUAGUCUUAACCAUAAACUAUGCCGACUAGGAAUCGGGACGAUGGUUGACGAAAAUGAACUCGACUCGGC